Non-coding RNA from Peromyscus maniculatus bairdii (prairie deer mouse), 3450 nucleotides. Lineage: Eukaryota; Metazoa; Chordata; Mammalia; Rodentia; Cricetidae. The record is from RefSeq and is a predicted model, not a curated record.
ACCAAUCAGAGCAACACAUUCACAGCAUAGAGAACAUCCCACAGCAAGAACAGGCAUACUGUUGCUCUAGAGAAAGCUUAGGAGGAGGCUGAGGUCUAAGAAUGUAUGUUAGCCAGGGCCUCCUCUACCUUACGUUGGCAGGCACCCUACUGGGACCCUUUCUGUGAGUCCUUGGGUGUCCAGACAUUUCACCUAGGAAGUAGGUAUGCAUCCAAGGGGUGCUACAUCCUGUUCCCCACCCUUUUCCCAGUCUCCUGCCUUGGAAUCAGAAAGUGUGGCUGCAGGCUUCUGCUGUGAACCUCCUUCAUCCUCAAAAGGUCUGAGAAACAGCUCCCUCUUCCUUUAUUGUGGCUCUGAUUCUCUCCAGAGACCAGAUCAUGCUGUAUCUCUCUGAUGCUAGGGCCUGAACUAUCCUCCGGGGUUCUGCCAUGCUGAUGCCCAUCCCUAUCUCUCUGUCCAUGACAGUACCAAACAAAGUCCUGAGUCACCAGUGAUCUGUCCCGGUGUCUUCCUGAACCAGCUCAUCUAAAACCUAACAGAGAGCCAGCAUCACAUUAGCGAAGGCCAACUUGAGGACUGUUAGAAUAAUGACAGGCACUUAAUCAAGCUGAAACACAUCUUAGCGGGGGCUGAGGUUGCUUGAAAGCCGGUAGGCAGCCCCGAGCUGUGAGCGCCCCUCAGACGCACUUUGGAGCGGCAGGAGUCGGGCACAGCUCUUCCCCCUGGAAGGCUCCCGCAGCCGGUCUGCAUGCAGCUGGGAUAAAUUCAGCCCAGGAGGAAAAUCAGCCCUUCCUCCCCCUCUCGCCUCCCAUUUUAGGUUUUAGGUACCACACAAGAUGGUGUCCCAUCUGAACCAGGGAUGCCUCAUGGUCCUUGGUGAAUGGAUAAUCCUAGUCUUGCUUUUUUUUUAAGCUUCUAGAAGUUUCCCUUCUGCGUCUAUUGAAUCCUUGGUUGGUAGGGCCAGUGGACAUGGAGGCUUGAGUGUGUGUAUCUGAGUAAGGACUGCAUAGGUGUUACCUCAGGAGGAAGAGGGCACUACAUCCAGGAAGACAUGGCUGGGCCCAGACAGAACGUGAGAUGGAAGUGUCCUCUUACCAGCUUCGAGAGCUGUGACCUGGACAUGUCAGAGGCUGAGGCCAUCUGAGAGAUCCAGCUCAGUGGAGGACCAACGCAUUUUAUUGUCCUGAUGCUAAAAUACUGGCAUGACUAUUAGAAACUGCCGCGCUGGGUCUUUUCUGUAGGCUGAACCAUGCCGACGGCUCUUAUCCACCACAAUAACCACCAGUUUGGCCACCUUUGACUUCAGGUGCACGCCUCCACUUACCACCACGCUGAGAAGCUCAAUGUUGCCCUGGCUGUGUGGCCAGCGAGGCGCCAUCUGCUGUCUCCUUUGGGCUCCGGUGGAAUAGCUUGAGAUGCUCUUCUUCUUCUUCUCACUGCGGCCUGAGAGGGUGCAGACAGGAGGCCUGUGCAGCUGCCCUGCGGUUUUGAGUGGCCCGCUGAGGAUCUGGACACUGCAUGGCCAGUGGGUGAGGAGGCGCCUCACCGCUCUGCUGCUGUGAUGGAGGCAUUCUGAAGGCACUGUGAUGCAGGACUGGGCUGCUUAAGUUACCGUACCCAAAUCAUACAGACGGGGUGACUGAACAGUGCCGCUCCAAGGUCAGAGCGCCCGUGGGAUUAGUUCCUGGAGAGCUCGUCCUCCAUGGCUGGCAGCCUCCUGUUCACGCCAUCGCCAUAGUCGCUUCUCCUCGACAAGCGAGCUUUGGGGGUUCUUUCCUUCUUCUGAGGACAUUGGUUAGCUCGGAUUAGGCCCCUGUGACCUCAUUCAACAUUAGUUACCUCAUGUUUCUACGUGUAGGCACAUUGGGUAUGAGGGCUUCAAGAUUUUGGGGGAACACAGUUAGUAUAGAUCAUGUACAGGCAGAGACACACGUGGGGAUGCAUUAAUGGAAUGAAUAUUCUGGUUGUAGAAGGCAUUUGAUUUAGAUUUAGAUCUGUGUUUUGUGAUCUCCAGGCUUCUGCGUUAUGAGGAAGAAGACAACAGAUACGAACCUUUAAGAAAAUACAUUUUUCUUUUAUCUUAAAAUGAUAUGUACAAUGGGAUUUUAUCCAGGUUGUGGUCAAUGGCUGGCAUGUCUACCCCUCCAUCAUCUCAUCCACAUCCACUUCUCUGUCUGCUCGCUUGCACUGAGAGAUUUCUAGAGCCACACUGAUGAAAUGCUUCUUUCUAGGUGCUGGAAUCUGAAGUGAUUUUGCCUGGGCUUUUCCUUGCACUUACCUCCAUGACCCCAAAUUUAUAAAAAGGGACACACAUACGUAUCCUUUCCAAGCAGAUGGUACUGAUGAAUUUUAUGUGCUGACAGUGCCUCUCAUGUGUACCCCUGCUUUGUUCCCGAGGAAGUGGGGGCUAGCGGGAGGGAGUGUCCUGCCUGGUAGGCCCAGCCCUCUGACUUUGGCCUUGGUCAAACAACUACAAACACAGCUGAGUGUGAGGUUCCGCUGGGAGCUGUGAGGAGAACUUUGGAGGACCCUCGGGUGCCACUGGAACUCACAGCCAGUGGCAUCCUGAGCCUUUGAAGUCUUUUUUUAAGACUGGCUGGCCAGACUUGUAACGAGUUGAGUUCACAGUUCCCAGAGGGGCAGCAAGGUGUCCUGGAUGCUGCCUGGUUGGCUGCCCUGUGUGGACAGAUACCCAAGGUUUGGAGGUUGCAAGGUCAAGGAUGUCGGAGGUUUGUGGCUCCUGUAGAAAGCACAGGCGGAUCCGCAGGGUUCUCCCUGUAUUGGAGAGCCAGGGACCCGCAGGCACUCUCCUGCCUGAGGCAGCUGUGAGACUACCACGGCUACUCUGAAAAGCAGGCCAGACAACAUCCAUGCAUGUUGGGCUGAAAGUAGACACAGAAACCCCCCCACCCCGACCCCAGCACAUGCUGUCCCCUGCAGACCCGGGAAAGAGAUCAUGGGAAGUCCUUUUCUCCAAGGCGUCCUUGGCUCCACCCCAAGGCCUAUCAACAGUCAUAGCGUACGUUCCCUAAACAGAGUGGUUUUGAGGGACGGCACAUUGUCCAUCCGUGAAGACCAGCUAACCACAGUUAGGUGCCAUUGCACCUAAUGACACGGAUGUCACCCACAGGCACACAGCUGAGUGGACAAGGCCAAUGCAAAACGAAGAGAGCAUCAUGUCUUUAAUGGGAGGUUCAAGCGAAGCAAAACAAAACCAUAUCUUCAGGGAUGCACGCCUCAAAGGGGACACACAGGGAGAAAUGAUGAUACAGUUCAGAAUAAGACCAACCUGUGUGUGUGUCGGGGGUGGGGGUGGGGGGGGGCAGGUCAGCACUGGUCAAGGUUUCCCAGGGUGGAUGAAGAGUCCUGGACAGUGUUCUCUUUAACCUGGUGGUGGUGACAAGGAUGUUUGCUUUAUAAUUAUUCAUUAAACUGCUGAGUUUACAUGUA